AAAGCCUUAGCUUAAUUAAAGUUUCUGUUUUGCAUGCAGAUGAUGUGGGGUAAUACCCCGCAGGUUUUA
Molecule: transfer RNA, 69 nt
Filed under: Lophonectes gallus (crested flounder)
Lineage: Eukaryota; Metazoa; Chordata; Actinopteri; Pleuronectiformes; Bothidae
Description: tRNA-Ala
Rfam family: tRNA
About the family: Transfer RNA (tRNA) molecules are approximately 80 nucleotides in length. Their secondary structure includes four short double-helical elements and three loops (D, anti-codon, and T loops). Further hydrogen bonds mediate the characteristic L-shaped molecular structure. tRNAs have two regions of fundamental functional importance: the anti-codon, which is responsible for specific mRNA codon recognition, and the 3' end, to which the tRNAs corresponding amino acid is attached (by aminoacyl-tRNA synthetases). tRNAs cope with the degeneracy of the genetic code in two manners: having more than one tRNA (with a specific anti-codon) for a particular amino acid; and 'wobble' base-pairing, i.e. permitting non-standard base-pairing at the 3rd anti-codon position.
Source: RNAcentral